Long non-coding RNA from Alligator sinensis (Chinese alligator), 1415 nucleotides. RefSeq lists it as uncharacterized. NCBI's taxonomy places the organism in Eukaryota, Metazoa, Chordata, Crocodylia, Alligatoridae. The transcript has 3 exons. The record is from RefSeq and is a predicted model, not a curated record.
UUGAACCUGAGCAGACUAAGGACAUUUCAGAAUUUGCACAAUGUUAACAGAUACUUGGUUUUGUGGCAUACAAAUAGUUCAUCUUCAGGCACCAAGCACCGGGAAGUUUUGUUCGAGGACUGAAAAUAUCCAGAUCGGGAGAUACCACAGUAAUUUCAAACAUGGCAUAUCCCUACCAAGAACCUAAGGAUUGCCUCUGUGUCUCCUUGUAUUUGCUCCAUCCUUCAAGGCCUCCUGCAAUCAACCACCAUCAUAUAAAGCCAUGAAUAAUACUUCAAAAUCAACAAGAGAGAUCACUACUGAGCAAGACAAGAUUUUCUCUACAGAUUAGAAUGAGACAUGAGUGAAAGGUUAAAGAUCUUAUAUGGAAGAGUGCUGUGGUUUGCAAAGUGGUGUUAGACAACUUACAUCCUGGAGGAAUACUCUGCAUGUGAUGAGCUUACUGAGACAAAAUGGUUGAUGAAUUGGGUGUGACAUUGCUAUGUAUCAGCCAGGCGGACAGAACGUUCAUCCUUCUGUAUGUAUUGAAGAUGUUUGAGAGAGACAACUAUACCUGGAACUGGAGUUCUAGGUGGCUGGUAAAGUAGCAUCAGGGUAUCUAUUAGCAGACAAGAAAAAAAAAAUCGGCAAAGCAGUGGACAAACCAUUUGGUAAACCACACACCUAACUCUCAAGUCUGUGUGAAACUGUGGAUUUCUUAUUGUCUCAUUAUGAAAAAUGCUCCAACUGGGUUAGGCAUCCUUUUGUGUUUGGUUUGGUGCUGUACUAAAAUAUGAUCUCAAGAUGUAACUUCUUUUUCACGUGGAUUUCUAAAUGUUACUCUCCAACUAACCUGCACUGAAAAUUGUCUGCAUUAGCAAAGCAGCAAAAUUAAAAUCCUCCUUCAAGCCAUAAGGUACUCUGUAAUUGUUUUACAGUCAUCUGAGCUCAAAAACCUGAGAGAAUAGUUGGAAAACUAAGUCACGCUCAAAAGUGCAAUGGGAAGAGGUUUCUCUGAAGACAGUAGAAAGACUCUGACUUCAUAGUAUUUUGAAUCCUACCCAGAGAUGACAGAACACUGAAAAAAUGAUGGAAGAAAAUAGGCUAGUCAGCUCUGAGGAUUUUUUUUAACUUAUACCUUUUUAAAAGAAGCUUAAAUAUUUCAUUUUAGGAUUUUUUUUUUUUUAAAGCCAUGCAUUCAUGAUCAGCAUUACUAUCACAGCAAACACAUUUGAAGGGAAAAGAAUUUUGAGUAAGUUUUCAGCUCUCUAACAUCCUUUUCUCUAAGCAUUUCAGUCUGUAGAAUGACUGCUUCCCUUCCCAGAAUAUUUUUUUACUCUGUGCACAAAAAUGUUCAUGUAUUUUAGAGGAACACAAUGAUUAGAAUAACACAGAAACAGUGCUGCUUAGCUACUUCGUGACUUCAUUUUCUUGAC